GGGCAGAGACCCGACGCCAACAGAGCGGUGGUUAUGAGUGCGCGACUUUACCGAGCUCAGAGCGGAAGUGACGUGCUCUAGUCUCGCGCUGCCGUAGUCCUCCUCUCUCUUUUCUCUAUGGUUUCCCCUCCCAGUCUCUUCCUCACGGCGACGGGAAAUGGCCGCCGAGCUGCGAUAAGGGAGCGGGGCAGCUGGGAGCGCCGCCCGCCAGGAAUUAAUAUUUCUGAGAGCACAUUUUCAGAAUUUUAAAAUCACUUCAUUGAUUAACAUCUAGAGGCCUAAGAAGCAAUCCAGUGAAGAAAAUGGGUCGAUCUAAUUCUAGAUCUCAUUCUUCAAGAUCAAAGUCCAGAUCUCAGUCCACUUCUAGGUCAAGGUCCAGAUCACAUUCUAGAAAAAAGAGAUACAGUUCUAGGUCUCGGUCUAGGACCUAUUCACGAUCUCGCAGUAGGGAUCGUGUUUAUUCUAGAGAUUAUCGCAGAGAUUACAGAAAUAAUAGAGGAAUGAGACGCCCCUAUGGUUACAGAGGAAGAGGUAGAGGGUAUUAUCAAGGAGGAGGUGGUAGAUAUCAUCGUGGAGGUUACAGACCUGUCUGGAAUCGAAGACACUCCCGAAGCCCUAGGCGGGGUCGUUCACGUUCCAGAAGUCCAAAGCGAAGGUCUGUGUCUUCCCAGAGGUCCAGGAGCAGAUCUCGUCGAUCUUACAGAUCUUCCAGGUCUCCAAGGUCCUCUUCAUCUCGUUCUUCAUCCCCAUACAGCAAAUCUCCUGUCUCUUCCAAAAGACGUGGGUCUCUGGAAAAGCAGGCUAAGAAAACUGAGGGAGCUCCUUUGCAAGAUAGCCCUUUAAAAAGUAAAUCACAGGAUGAACAGAAAGAUACAUUUGAACAUGACCCAUCUGAGUCCCUUGACGACUUUAACAAAUCAUCAGCAGCUUCUGGUGACAUUUGGCCUGGCCUUUCAGCAUAUGAUAACAGUCCAAGGUCACCCCAUAGUCCUUCUAUUGCCUCCCCACCCAGUCAGAGUUCAUCUUGCUCUGAUGCCCCCUUGCUCAGCACAGUUCACUCAGCUAAAAACACACCUCAACAUUCACAUUCCAUUCAACAUAGCCCUGAGAGGUCUGGCUCUGGUUCCCUUGGAAAUGGUUCCAGUCGCUACAGUCCUUCUCAGAACAGCCCAUUGCAUCACAUCCCUUCAAGGAGAAGCCCUGGAAAGACAAUCCCUUCACAGAGUGCUCCACGUGAGGAGGCUCGAAUGCGCUCAUUUUAUCCCGAAGUUGGGGAACAGGAAACUGCAAAGGGUGGAAAGUUUCUAAAAAGGUACACAGAUGAAGAGUCUAGAGUAUACCUGCUUGAUAGGGGUAAUACCAGGGAGAAAGAGGCCCAGAAGGAGAGAGGAUCAGAAAAAGGGAGGACAGAGGGAGAAAGGGAAUGGGAGGAUCAGGAAGCUUUAGAUUAUUUCAUUGGUAAGGAUGCUGGGAAGCAAAAGUUUAGUGACUCUGAAGGGGAGGAGACAGAGGAGACAGAGGAUUAUGGACAGUUCAGAAAAUCUGUCCUCGCAGAUCAGGGUAAAAAUUUUGCUACUGCAUCUCACCGGAAUGCUGAGGAGGAAGGAACCAAAUACAAAUCUAAAAUUUCAAUGAAGGGCAAUAGAGAGAGUGAUGGAUUUAGAGAAGACAAGAGUUAUAAACUUAAAGAGACUGGCUAUGUAGUGGAAAGGCCUAGUGCAACAAAAGAUAAGCACAAGGAAGACGACAAAAGUUCUGAGAGAAUAAUGGUGAAGAAAGAAACUCAGUCACCUGAGCAGGUAAAGUCUGAAAAGCUCAAAGAACUCUUUGAUUACAGUCCCCCUCUACACAAGAAUCUGGAUGCGAGAGAAAAAUCCACCUUCCGAGAGGAGAGCCCACUUAGGAUCAAAAUGAUAGCCAGUGACUCCCAUCGUCCUGAAGUUAAGCUCAAAAUGGCACCGGUACCUCUUGAUGAUUCCAAUAGACCUGCUUCCUUGACUAAAGACAGGCUGCUUGCUAGUACGCUUGUCCAUUCUGUCAAGAAGGAGCAAGAGUUCCGAUCCAUCUUUGACCACAUUAAGUUGCCACAGGCCAGCAAAAGCACAUCAGAGUCAUUUAUUCAGCACAUUGUGUCUUUGGUUCAUCAUGUCAAAGAACAAUACUUCAAGUCAGCUGGAAUGACCCUAAAUGAGAGGUUCACUGCAUAUCAAAAAGCUACUGAAGAACAUUGCACCCGGCAAAAGAGCCCAGAAAUACACAGGAGGAUUGACAUCUCUCCAACUGCCCUGAGGAAGCAUACCCGUUUAGCAGGUGAAGAGAGAGUCUUUAAAGAAGAAAGUCAAAAAGGAGAUAAAAAAUUAAGAUGCGAUUCUGCUGAUCUUCGGCACGACAUUGACCGUCGUAGAAAAGAGCGAAGUAAAGAACGAGGGGACUCUAAAGGUUCCAGGGAAAGCAGUGGAUCAAGAAAGCAGGAGAAAACUCCAAAAGAUUACAAGGAUUACAAACCAUACAAAGAUGACAGUAAACAAAAAAGAGAGCAAGACCGUUCUCGAUCUUCCUCAUCUUCAUCCCCGUCUUCCGCCUCAUCCAGUUCACGAGAAGAAAAAGAUGGCAAGAAAGAAAGAGAUGAAGAGUUCAAAACCCACCAUGAGCAGAAAGAAUAUUCAGGUUUUACAGGAGUCAGCAGGCCGAGAGGCACCUUUUUUCGAAUUAGGGGCAGAGGAAGAGCCAGAGGAGUUUUUGCUGGAACAAAUACUGGUCCCAGCAACUCAAAUGCUACUUUUCAAAAGAGACCGAAGGAAGAGGAGUGGGAUCCUGAAUAUACCCCAAAAAGCAAGAAAUACUUCUUGCAUGAUGACAGAGAUGAUGGUGUGGAUUAUUGGGCCAAAAGAGGAAGAGGCCGUGGCACUUUCCAGCGUGGCAGAGGGCGGUUUAACUUCAAAAAAUCAGGUAGCAGUCCAAAGUGGACACAUGACAAAUACCAAGGGGAUGGGCUUGUGGAAGAUGAAGAAGAAACAAUGGAAAAUAAUGAAGAAAAGGACAGACGCAAAGAAGAAAAGGUAGAAAACUCUGGCUUGUCGGUGAAUUGAAGAACAGAUUUCCUUCCUCACCAUACCCUAAGAGUAAUGUGAAGAAAAAUUCCAGCUGAAAAAGCAGCCCUUGCACCACCCACACAGCAUUUUUAAUAUUUUUUUGUCGUCAAAUGAAUACCACCCCCACGAUGGGAGCUCUCUUCUGAACAGAUCUAAAUAUGACAAGUAUAGCUGUAGCAUAACAGGUGCUACGUUUCUCCGUCCAUAUACCGCUACUGGGGAAAUGCCUCAACUGUUUGUGCAACAGCCCAAAAAGUAGCUUGACUUCUAUACACUGUAACCGGAAGAUUUGUCCUACAUUCCAAAUGCAUGUUCCAUUUUUGCAUAUGACAGAACAAGGUAAACCACUAGUGGGAAAAGAGUUACUUUUAAGAAAAUCUGUUUAGUAUAUUUCAGACUUUGCAUGCAUAAUGUAUGAAGUCUUCUGAAUGGAGCACUAGUUGCUAUCUUAAAACUUUUCAAGCACAGUGAAUAACACAAAAUGACACUCUCAAGACUACGUUUUGAAGAGUUUUAAUUGGUGACAUGUGGGUUACCAAUAGAAAGUUUUAGUCAAAAAGUUUGUGGCACUAUUAAUCCAGCUGCCCUUUGUGUCAGUCUUUGUUCCAGUUCAUAAAACUGCCUUUUCAAUUUCUUUACAUGGGCUUUCCUCUUCAGGUAAAUAUUCUGACAAGUGUGAAUUCUCUAUUAAGUUUACAGUCUUAUAUGGAAUAAAAAUCUAAAAGUUUUUAAAA
This is an RNA transcript of Chelonia mydas (Green sea turtle), 3826 nucleotides long. It is a transcript of the gene named BCL2 associated transcription factor 1, with no coding region annotated. The transcript is spliced from 14 exons. Lineage: Eukaryota; Metazoa; Chordata; Testudines; Cheloniidae. The record is from RefSeq and is a predicted model, not a curated record.